This 452-nucleotide long non-coding RNA is filed under the name Brassica napus (rape). RNAcentral's name for it is "long non-coding RNA (BNAP_LNC010831)". The record is from RNAcentral. Lineage: Eukaryota; Viridiplantae; Streptophyta; Magnoliopsida; Brassicales; Brassicaceae.
AUGGAUAUAAACGUAACGGAAGGUGCCAAUAAGGGGAAUUCGUGAGCACAUGAGAGGAGUGGGCAUAGUUAAUAAUAGUAUAGAGACAGCCCAGGCGAAUAGAAGAGAGAGCAAACAAGGAAGAAGCAUACAUAUUUUAAGAAGUGAUCGAUUCAAUUUUGUCGUAGAACAAGUCACCAGACUUGAGAACAGGUCACCAGACUUGAGAACCAGACUUGAGAACCAAACUUGAGAAGCAACCUUGCAAGUUCAAACUCGUCCAAGAUGUGUUCAAAGGUCAACCAGACCGUUGGCAAGAUCAGAGACAAGUUGGAGUUCUAAAUUAGUUAAAAUCACAUGAUCUAUUUAGAGGAGAGAGGAAGAAAGAGUUGUUGAGGUGUUGUCCCUUUCAGCUCAUCUUGCAACACCAUUCUUUAUUAUUUCUCUCUUUGUUUAUAUCUCAUCUCUGGGCC